GUGCCUUCGGGAACUCUGAGACAGGUGCUGCAUGGCUGUCGUCAGCUCGUGUUGUGAAAUGUUGGGUUAAGUCCCGCAACGAGCGCAACCCUUAUCCUUGUUUGCCAGCGAGUAAUGUCGGGAACUCCAGGGAGACUGCCGGUGAUAAACCGGAGGAAGGUGGGGACGACGUCAAGUCAUCAUGGCCCUUACGAGUAGGGCUACACACGUGCUACAAUGGCGCAUACAGAGGGCGGCCAACUUGCGAAAGUGAGCGAAUCCCAAAAAGUGCGUCGUAGUCCGGAUUGGAGUCUGCAACUCGACUCCAUGAAGUCGGAAUCGCUAGUAAUCGUGGAUCAGAAUGCCACGGUGAAUACGUUCCCGGGCCUUGUACACACCGCCCGUCACACCAUGGGAGUGGGCUGCAAAAGAAGUGGGUAGUUUAACCUUCGGGAGGACGCUCACCACUUUGUGGUUCAUGACUGGGGUGAAGUCGUAACAAGGUAGCGCUAGGGGAACCUGGCGCUGGAUCACCUCCUUAUACGAUGAU
RNAcentral lists this ribosomal RNA (529 nucleotides) under Vibrio vulnificus. RNAcentral describes it as "bacterial SSU rRNA". It matches the Rfam family "Bacterial small subunit ribosomal RNA", at positions 1014 to 1533 of the family's 1533-position model. Lineage: Bacteria; Pseudomonadati; Pseudomonadota; Gammaproteobacteria; Vibrionales; Vibrionaceae. The record is from RNAcentral.